Molecule: ribosomal RNA, 301 nt
Filed under: uncultured bacterium
Lineage: Bacteria
Description: partial 16S ribosomal RNA
Rfam family: Bacterial small subunit ribosomal RNA
Source: RNAcentral
CAGUAGCCGCGGUAAUACGAAGGGUGCAAGCGUUACUCGGAAUUACUGGGCGUAAAGCGUGCGUAGGUGGUGGUUUAAGUCCGUUGUGAAAGCCCUGGGCUCAACCUGGGAAUUGCAGUGGAUACUGGGUCACUAGAGUGUGGUAGAGGAUAGUGGAAUUUCCGGUGUAGCAGUGAAAUGCGUAGAGAUCGGAAGGAACAUCUGUGGCGAAGGCGACUAUCUGGGCCAACACUGACACUGAGGCACGAAAGCGUGGGGAGCAAACAGGAUUAGAGACCCCGGUAGUCCCUGUCUCUUUACA